Pimephales promelas (fathead minnow) is the source of this 3305-nucleotide RNA transcript. It is a transcript of the gene named protein kinase, AMP-activated, gamma 2 non-catalytic subunit a, with no coding region annotated. NCBI's taxonomy places the organism in Eukaryota, Metazoa, Chordata, Actinopteri, Cypriniformes, Leuciscidae. The record is from RefSeq and is a predicted model, not a curated record.
UGAUAGUGAGACGCGCGCGCCGCGCACUGAUUCUUCCACAGAGAACCGGAGAGCAUCUUAUCCUCGUCUCGGUCUCUCACGUUUAAGUUUUUUUUUCAACCAGGGUGCAAGUGUUUGUUUUCAGAAACCGAGAGAAAUGAGCGCAGUAGAUAUAAUUUCGAACGAGAGACUAAUAAAAUCGAAAUUGUAAGAUUACUGAUAUUUAGCCUAUUAUUCUGGAGCUAUAUCGAUUUUACUCUCCUUGCCAGAGUUAAAUAAGAAUCUGCCAAAAUAAAUAAAAAUAAAAACAUUAAUUUGGGAAAUGGGCAGCACAGCAAUGGAUUCUAAGAAAGAUGAGAAGAAAAAUUCUAGGAAAAGAAGAUCGCUUCGGAUACACAUGCCUGACUUGAGCUCCUUCGCCAUGCCGUUCCUGGAAGGAGAUGCGGAACAUGUAAACAAGGACGGCGUGCUCAAGGGUGAGCCUAGCUGCCGUUCAGCCAGUCCGACCAAAACCUUCUUCAGUCGGGGUCCUUUCAGCCGUCCCUCUAGCCCUAUGUCUGCUCCAGCCCGGUCCAGAAACAGCCCUGGAUCUCCCAAAUCCAUCUUCCCCUACUCGUCCAACAACGACUCCUCGCCCAAGUGUUCACGUCGCCGCAGCUUCACCGGAAUGUUCCGUUCAUCCUCCAAAGAGUCCACAAAUCCUUCUACAUCUCCUGUCAGCAUCAGACUCUUCUCUCGGGCCAGGAAAGCAUCGGGGAUCUCCUCAUCACCCACCACUCCAACACAACUGACCAAGCAGAGUUCUGCGUUUCUUCUGGAAGUCAGUCGGAAUGACACCGUGCAGCGUUCCUCGUCCUCCCCCCUCGACACUGGACAGCACCACAGCCCACCUACUGCAAAACCACCGCACAGUCCGUGCUCAGCACAUUUAUCUACCUCACGUGCGGUCCACGGUUUAUCUGAAGACAUGCUGGAGAAACUCGAUCUCGAGGAUGAAGCUGUUGAACAAUCCGAGAGCGACAUUUACAUGCGUUUUAUGAAGUUACAUAAGUGCUACGACAUCGUCCCUACCAGCUCCAAGCUAGUGGUCUUUGACACAACGCUGCAGGUUAAAAAGGCCUUUUUUGCCUUGGUGGCCAAUGGGGUCCGAGCAGCCCCUCUGUGGGAGACCAAGAAGCAAAGUUUUGUGGGCAUGCUGACCAUCACAGACUUCAUCAACAUACUUCACAGAUACUACAAAUCACCCAUGGUACAAAUCUAUGAGCUUGAGGAGCAUAAAAUUGAGACGUGGAGAGAGCUCUAUCUACAAGAAACAUUUAAGCCUUUAGUGAACAUAUCUCCAGAUGCAAGCAUAUUUGAUGCUGUGUAUUCACUGAUCAAAAACAAGAUCCACCGGUUGCCCGUCAUCGACCCUGUCAGUGGAAAUGCACUUUACAUUUUGACGCACAAAAGGAUCCUGAAAUUCCUUCAGCUGUUUGUCUGUGAGAUGCCAAAGCCUGCCUUUAUGAAGCAGACACUGGAGGAGCUGAGCAUCGGGACCUACAGCAACAUCGCCUUCAUUCACCCCGACACGCCAAUCAUCAAAGCCCUCAGCAUCUUUGUGGAGAGGAGAGUGUCAGCACUGCCUGUGGUGGAUGAGUCGGGAAAAGUUGUAGAUAUUUAUUCCAAAUUUGAUGUCAUUAAUCUUGCUGCUGAAAAGACGUACAACAACCUGGACAUAAGCGUGACGCAGGCGCUGAUGCACAGGUCACAAUACUUUGAAGGCGUCAUGAAAUGCAACAGAUUAGAGAUACUGGAAACAAUAGUAGAUCGGAUAGUCAAGGCUGAGGUGCACAGGCUGGUGGUGGUGGAUGAGAACGGGAGCAUCGUGGGCAUCGUCUCUCUGUCGGACAUCCUCCAGGCGCUCGUUCUUAACCCCGCAGGUAUAAAUGCUCAGCAUCCCUAAAGCUCAUUUCCAGCAGGACCCUUCUCCUCUCAACCUCUAUCGCCCAAACCACAGGCAUGGUCAGGAAGGACAGCGAAGCAGAGACGGACUGAUGUGUGCUGAGAUUGCUGGGCAGUGUGACGUUGCCGGCAGAGACUGGAGACAAGAAGUUUAAGCCACAUCUCUGAAUUAAAGAGAGAAACCAAGAAACUUGACCUAGAUGUGUGCUGUUAGAAGGCAAAAGAAGGGGUUUAAGGGUACAGAGACUGGUUAAAUGGUCUAUCAUUAAAUAUAUGGAUGAAGGUAGUGGCCGCAUGAGGCGAUUAAGGUGGAUCAUCUCUUAUUCAGAAGGAUACUGUGAACUCUGCCUAUUAUAUCACACUAAGCUUCUGCACGCACACUAUGAUAACUAUACUUUUAGCUAGACCUAAAACUACGCCAUCUGGUUUCUGAACAGUGGUCUGCGCACAGACUAUGGACUGUACCAUUACCACCUCUUUUGGGAGGGGGGUGUCUGUGCGUUUGCAGGGCAUUCAGUAAUAAUCUCAGUAUUCAAUGCAUGUUAGGACUGUUUGCUCCCUGUGUACAGUAUAUACGAUUUUCAGCUUGUGCCGUAUAAGCCCAGCUCGCAUAUUUCUACUUUUGACUACACCUCCUGAAUUUAGGAACUGUUGUUUAUUUCGUUUAGUCUCCAGCUCAAUCCAUUUGUACAGUAAAUGCAGACAGAAAUGGUUUCCUCUCUAUCUGUCUAUGGUGCCUUCUGUCCAGCAGUUAUCGCCCACUACUGGUUGCCAACAGAACAAGAGUAAUUGAAUGUUUAAACUUAUCAAAGCGAAUGUCAGAGUUGUUACAAAAACCAAAAGCCCCUUUUUGUCGUUUUAGUGUGUCACCAAAUGUAUUUACUGAAGAGCUCUACAUUUCCUCACUUUGGGUGUUCGUUUUGUUCUUGAUGUUUUUGAAAUGAUGCUGUAAAUGAUAAUUCAAAUGUUUAUUUAUUUAUAUUUAACACUUUUGUAUUUUUGAAAGUGAUAUCUAAGUGUGAGAUGGAAAGAACUAUUAAGCCCCUAUGCAGUAAAACUUGAUGUUGAAAAGUGAUUCAACCUUAAAACCCCACUGUCCAAGAGGCGACUGAUUCUUGUUUGUAUCAAUUGUACUGUACCGAGCUUCUGUCUGAAGAGUCUACAAGUGCCAGAGAAAGGUAUAUUUUUCUGUGUAUUCAGUGUUGUUUGUAAUACUUCACAUUAUCAUUUUAAGUUCUCCUUAUUUGUUUUGCAGAUGUUAGUGCUGUUGUCAUGAUGUCCAGAGAUUAAUGCACAUCACUAGCAUGAGAAUGCUAGUGAAUAAUCAUGCUUUAGAUUCAUUUUUAUUUUACAAUUAAAUAAUAAAAACGAAAAACAAUGUC